Molecule: non-coding RNA, 72 nt
Organism: Stegodyphus mimosarum
Lineage: Eukaryota; Metazoa; Arthropoda; Arachnida; Araneae; Eresidae
Source: Rfam
GCCUUCGUGGUGUAGGGGCCAGCACGCUCGACUCGUAACCGAGAGGUCCGGGGUUCGAUCCCGGCGAAGGCG